This 4080-nucleotide unclassified non-coding RNA is filed under the name Leishmania donovani. RNAcentral's name for it is "gene:LdHU3.29.4040(CDS-product:SAM_domain_(Steril e_alpha_motif)_putative)". The record is from RNAcentral. Lineage: Eukaryota; Euglenozoa; Kinetoplastea; Trypanosomatida; Trypanosomatidae.
GAGAAGCACGGCAAGCAGUCAAGGACGCAAAAGGAAGGGGCGACCACAAGAGGAGGAUACUGGCGGCAUUUUUUCUUUGGUAGACGAACAGCUCCAUCACCUUUCCCUGCGUGCUUGUGGCGGAAGCAAACGAUGCCGCCCCCUUUCCCCUCACACGCCCCGGCAAUCGUCGCCGCUGUGGCCGGCGCCGUCGCCGGAGCGGCGGCGCUUACCUGGGGUGUCUUACGCUGGCAUCGACGCCAGCAGGGACAUGAGGGCACUGGUACCCCGACUGGGACGUGGACAGUUCAGCAGGUGGCGGCAUGGCUUCGUGAGAACGGUGUCAGCAAGACCUCUGUGGCUGUGUGUUGUCGCUACAAAGUGGAUGGCGACACACUGAUGCGGCUGACGGCGCAUGAUCUCUAUUACAUGGGUGUGCCGUUGCGCGACGCGCGAGUGAUUCUCGCAGCUGUGGAGGACGUUAAGGGUAGCCUAGUCCUUCUCUCCUCUGCAUCGCCGCGCUCGGUCUCGCGCCGGCAGUCAAGCGUUUCCCCGCGAACUGCCCAAGUAACUGUCCCCUCGGCGGCCGAGCAGUUUGAGGCCGCCUGGCGGGCACUGAUGCGAACCUGUGCACUGCCGGCAAGCGGCACAUCACCAGCCGAGCAGCAGCAGCGCUUGGCGGUGUACACUGGUACUCUUUUAGAGAGCUUUCAGGUGCUGACAGCUAGCGAGCAGGCCGCGGCGCUGUCGCUGGUGGCGGAGGCGGAAAAAGUGCGUGUCGCCCCCCCUGCCAUCGUGCCGCUGGAAGCUCAGCCUGGGCAAGCGGACACCGAGGCCCCUGUGGAUACGUCGUUUCCCGUGCAGGCGGUGGAGGAGAAGCUGAGGCCUUUGCAUGAUAUGCUGGACGGGUUUCUGGACUUUCUGCGCUCUCCGGACCUCGACGCGGUUGCGGCAGCUGAAUUUGACGAGUUGGGCGAGCGGGUCGCGGCGCAGGUGAAGCGGAUUUUGCGAGUUGCGGAGCAGUUGCCGCCGAAGCUUGGCGACCCCCUCCGCCGCAAGUGCGACGGCGUUUUCGAGGUCCUCUUCAGCCGUCAACGGACCGCGCUUGGUGCCUCUGGCGGGGAGGCCGCCGGCAAGGCAAAGCUAAUGCAGGCCCUCCGCAGUGUGCUUUCCACUGUGGAGGACCCACAGCUGCGCGAGUUGCCUGCUGCACAGCGCGUGCAGGCUCUGUCGUCGUUGGCCAAGCGAGCGGAGGCGAUCGAGGCUGUCGCAGCCGGCUCCGUGUCAGGCGUGCCUAAGGAUGUGGAGGUUCUCAAUAUGGUGCAGUCACUGCUUCGCAUUAUUCAGGAGGCGAUUCGUCUCAGCGAGCGUGAGGCUGAAGCCGAUGAGGAUGAGAAGGAAGGGCAGGCGCCUGCUGCAGAGGACGCGGAUGCUGCCAACGGGCCGAUCCCUGUAAUCGUCAGGACUGUGCAGGACAUUCAGGGCACCCUGCAGUCAGAGACAUUCCAGCACGCGCCGUCGGCGGUAAAGGUGGAGUUGUGCACCACUUUGCUCCAACGAGUUGCGGCGCUGGAGGACAACCUGGCCGAAGUGCCCUCUCCCGCGCAGGCUAUGGUGCGGGAUCUUCUUUUGAACACAAGGAACGUGCUCGCCGUCGUGAUUGCCGCGGCUGAGACCGAGGGGAACGAUGGCGGCGAGGACCCCCCGGCGGAUGAUGAGAAGCCCGAGAAGGAGCAGGAUGGUAACGGCGACGCCGAGGCGGCCCAGACGGAGGGUGAGAAGAGAGAGACGCAGAGCUCUGACACAAACAUAGAUGCGUACGUGGCACAGUUGGAGAAGAUAUUCGACUUCCUGACCUCCGACGCGCUGGAUCAGGCCACGAUGGAGGAGAGGAAAAAGGUAGCGGUGAGGCUGCGGCAGCGGGUGGAGGCGAUCAAGGCAGAUGUGGCAGCGCGCGACCCCCAGUGCACACUCAUCACGGAGCUCAUCGCUCCUCUUCAAAAUUUGUUGUCUGAAAUGGCUAGCAAUCACGUUGCGUCGCGUGAGUUCCUCGAGAUUACUGCCCCUCUUAGUGACGUGCGACGUCUUUUGACCAGCGAGUCAUUCCAGCAGCUGCCCCACGCCGGGAAGAUACGUAUUGCCCGCAACAUUGUGCCACAACUGCAGCAGCUUACCUCUUCCUUCUCCUCCUUGUCGAACUCUGAGCGUACUGCCGCAGAGGAGCUGCUUCGCCCCAUCAACGAGGUGCUGUUGCACCUGAUGCGUCCCCGCGGCGUUGCUACGGGGUCAGCGCAGGAAGUGCUUGAUCGUCUUCAAGCGGUGAUGCGCACCAUCCAAGGCGCCGAGCUCACCACCAUGUCGCCAACGGAGAGAAGCGCCUGGGCUGCCAACACCGUCGCGGAUCUGGGCCGGCUUCGGGACGAUUGUGCGGCGCUCGGCGCUGAGGGAGAAGCAUUACUUCCUAUCAUCGAGCGUCUUCGAAGCCAACUGAGCGGGUUGCUGCCCGACCAUACAAAUGCUGGAGGAGGCGAAGACCGUGAUGAUUCCGGCGACGCCGAACGCAGCGGCGCCGGAUGCAACGGCGAGGCUCAGCGGGAGCAGGAGGAGGGUCGGACACACCUUGUCUGGGCAGCACCGCGUGACAUGCACGCUGAAUUGCUGGAGGCUGAGCGGGCAGCGACGCCAGUGCCGCCGGAACGGUUGCAGAGAAUGCUCCAGAUGAUGGGAGAGGCGACUGAGCUGCCGGGUAUGUCAACACGACAAGUGGCGGAGCCGCGGCAGUUCGGCAGUCUCCUGCGUCGCCACGCGGAGGGCGUGGGCGGCAAGGUAAACGACGAUAGCACCAGCGCUAGAGUCGACGGCGCGGAACAGGACUUCGAUGAAGCCACGGCGGCGCUGCACGCUUUACGCAGAUCUCUGCAGGUGCUGAUGGAUGCGGUGCAAGAUGAGAACGCUGCGACGGCGACGGAGUUGUCAGUGGUGGCGAGCAAAACAGAGGAACUGCUCGCAAGCGCUGAUGCGGCCAAGAUAAACUGGCGCGCUGACUCGUGGUGCACCGGCACGGUGCGGAGCAUUUCGGAGGCCCUGCAGCAGUUGCGCGGCAGCGGGGGCGGCGCGAGCCGCGCCAAAGUUCCAAGCAAAGUGGAGGAGGUGCUCCAAUCAUCUAUCGCGGCUCUCAUCGCAAACCCGCCGACCGGCAUGGAGGACUUCGAGCCGUACCUGCGUUUGCUGCAGCUGGCCCAGCCAUCGGCAGAACAGAUGACGAACAGGGAGCUGAUGCUGCUCAAAAGCCUCCAGGAAUCGGUGAUAGAGGCCAUGCGGCGCCUCCCAGAUCAUCCGCGUCAAAAUGGCGAAAGGACCAGGCAUGAGACCGACGACGAGGGGGAGGGCAGUGCACAGGCAGUAUUGGGCGUGCCGCAGCAGAUGCCGUACAAACGGCGCGAAGGCUCCUCCUCGGCGGAGGAGCUGGACGACUCCGACAAUGCCCAGCAGGAUCUGGAGCGCCUCCUGGCCGGUGAGGGGGUGACAGUGGAGGAUGCCAUUGAAGCGCUGCGGGAGCAGAUUUGCCUGCAGCCCGAUGCACUCGACCGUGGCGAGGCCGGCGAUGAGGACGAGGUCGAGCGGGCCGGGAACGAAGAGGACGACGCCUGCGUGUCACAGUCGGAGGCGCAACGCGCUGACAAACAGACCCCAGAUCCACUUCAGCCGGAGAGCGCAGAUGCCUUUAACGAGGACGACGACGACGGCGUUGGCAGCAGCGGUGCCGCAGCCAUCUCUGGCCCCUCGUCUGGCUCUGCGCGACACAUCGCGUACGACGACGAGUUUGACGGCGAGGACAAGACUCACAGCAGCACCAGCGCCGCAUGAUGAGAUGUCGGGGUAUCGCCUAUCCCCCCCUCUUUACUCAGCACUAUCAGCACCUACACAUACACGGUGCCGUCUGUGAGGUGCAAUGCGCAGGCCCUCAUCGGUGAUGGAUGGGUCUUGCAAUAGAAAAGGCGUGGAUGAAGCAAGUUUCUGUUUUCAUCUGCGCGGCCUUAUCGAGCGAUGUGCAAUGACAUGCACGAAGGACUAUAACGGCCUGUCGGCUAUACACACGCG